Cannabis sativa is the source of this 885-nucleotide long non-coding RNA. RefSeq lists it as uncharacterized. NCBI's taxonomy places the organism in Eukaryota, Viridiplantae, Streptophyta, Magnoliopsida, Rosales, Cannabaceae. The transcript has 2 exons. The record is from RefSeq and is a predicted model, not a curated record.
UUGUGGAGUGGGAAUCGCUCCACUUCGGUUCAAAGCGAUAUUUUGCUUGGGUUUAAACACGAUAGAAAUUAGGUUUUAAACUCUAUUCUCGUUCACCCAAAACAGAGAACCAACGAGAGAGAGAGAGCACGUAUACGGCGUAUACGAUACCGAAAAUUUUUGUUUCUUCAAGCGGAGUGAAACCUGGGUGAACGUGGGGGUUUGGGAUCACUUAUAUACGACCUAAGGAAGCUUUUUAACGUGGUAUAAGGGGCGGAAGUCGUCAUUUUGAGAUUCACCAUUUUUGAAGCUUCAAAGGUGCGGCUUAGUUACGGACUCGAAUUCGAACGUGUUUAAGCUUGUUCUUGGGUCAAGGGAGGUUAUAUUUGAGUGCAUGGGACCCUAAGGAUUGUUUUUGACGUAAGAAAACGAAGCUUUAACGUCCAAAACGAAAAUCCAAAAUUUUGGACUCCAUUAAAGACGGUACACCGCCAACGAAGAAGACAACCCCGAUCUGCCUUCUCGGACCACUUUUCUUGAUCGUUUUGAGGUCCUGAGCAUUGUGGAGAGCUUCCCCAAUCGAAAGGACGCUUCAAGAGCCAUCGGAGACAAAGUUACACUUUACCGGCGACGAAACCGACGAGAACGCCGGCGACCGCGUUCUGACCGUUUCUGAGGUAAGGGUAAGGCUAAGCAGUGAGAAUGAAGAGCUCGAGGCGUGGACCGCAUGUUAGGGGGCUGGCACAGUAUUUUGCUUUUAAUGUUUUUAACUGCUAAACAUUUUGGAACUAUUAUUUUGACUUAACUAGUUCUUAUUUAAGUUUACAGUACUAAAAGAAUUUUGUUUUAAACAAUGAGAUCUCAUGCUUGGAUAUUUUUCAAUAAAGAAGUAUUUGUUUGUCUUUA